CCGGCCGUUCUCGUCCGAUCACCGAAGUUAAGCAGCUUCGAGCGCGGUCGGUACUCGGAUGGGUAACCGCCUGGUGGCUCCACGUGAUG
This is a non-coding RNA of Eumeta japonica, 89 nucleotides long. Lineage: Eukaryota; Metazoa; Arthropoda; Insecta; Lepidoptera; Psychidae. The record is from the annotation of a GenBank genome assembly.